GAUGAACGCUGGCGGCGUGCCUAAUACAUGCAAGUCGAGCGAACGGACGAGAAGCUCGCUUCUCUGAUGUUAGCGGCUGACGGGUGAGUAACACGUGGAUAACCUACUUAUAAGACUGGGAUAACUUCGGGAAACCGGAGCCAAUACCGGCUAAUAUUUUGAACCGCAUGGUUCAAAAGUGAAAGACGGUUUUGCUGUCACUUAUAGACGGAUCCGCGCUGCAUUAGCUAGUUGGUAAGGUAACGGCUUACCAAGGCAACGAUGCAUAGCCGACCUGAGAGGGUGAUCAGCCACACUGGAACUGAGACACGGUCCAGACUCCUACGGGAGGCAGCAGUAGGGAAUCUUCCGCAAUGGGCGAAAGCCUGACGGAGCAACGCCGCGUGAGUGAUGAAGGUCUUCGGAUCGUAAAACUCUGUUAUUAGGGAAGAACAUAUGUGUAAGUAACUGUGCACGUCUUGACGGUACCUAAUCAGAAAGCCACGGCUAACUACGUG
Molecule: ribosomal RNA, 497 nt
Filed under: uncultured bacterium
Lineage: Bacteria
Description: partial 16S ribosomal RNA
Rfam family: Bacterial small subunit ribosomal RNA
Source: RNAcentral